Molecule: ribosomal RNA, 494 nt
Filed under: uncultured bacterium
Lineage: Bacteria
Description: partial 16S ribosomal RNA
Rfam family: Bacterial small subunit ribosomal RNA
Source: RNAcentral
GACGAACGCUGGCGGCGUGCUUAACACAUGCCAGUCGAACGGAAAGGCCUGCUUUCCCUUGUGGAUUGCGGGUACUCGAGUGGCGAACGGGUGAGUAACACGUGAGUGAUCUGCCCCCAACUUGGGUAUAAGCCUGGGAAACUGGGUCUAAUUCCCGAUAGGACUGCAGGGUGGUGCCUGUGGUGGAAAACGAUUUUCUAGUGGUUGGGGAUGAGCUCGCGGCCUAUCAGCUUGUUGGUGGGGUAAUGGCCUACCAAGGCGGCGACGGGUAGCCGGCCUGAGAGGGUAGACGGCCACAUUGGGACUGAGAUACGGCCCAGACUCCUACGGGAGGCAGCAGUGGGGAAUAUUGCACAAUGGGCGGAAGCCUGAUGCAGCGACGCCGCGUGGGGGAUGACGGCCUUCGGGUUGUAAACUCCUUUCGACCGCGAGGAAGCCACCUGGUUGGAAGGGUGGUGACGGUAGUGGUAGAAGAAGCACCGGCUAACUACGUG